CCCCGCUCUCGCUGCUCACGUGCCGCGCAGGUGAUCCUGAUGGGCCUGGUGGAGGGCUACCGUGUGAACGGCGGCCCGGCCGGCGAGGGCCUGGACCCGCUGUACCCCGGCGAGUCGUUCGACCCCCUGGGCCUGGCUGACGACCCGGACACCUUCGCCGAGCUCAAGGUCAAGGAGAUCAAGAACGGCCGCCUGGCCAUGUUCUCCAUGUUCGGCUUCUUCGUGCAGGCCAUUGUGACCGGCAAGGGGCCCAUUGAGAACCUGAACGACCAUCUGGCCAACCCGGCCGUCAACAACGCCUUCGCCUUCGCCACCAAGUUCACGCCCAGCGCGUAAUGUAUCGCUGCUACGUUUGCUAGUCGAAGCGGUUGUCCGCAUCUGCCGGCCGCUGCUGCCUUCAGCUACGUUACGUUGUUUAGCUAUGUGAACGUAGACACAACAUACCCAAUAAACUGCCAAUACCGGUAUACGAGACGUCACAUGCAUAGCAAUUGCAGGCAGUAGUUGCCUAUCCGUCGCUGUUGGGUAAAUACGCUUGGAUGCGCAGCUUGCCAAAACUGUUGAGUGAUGCGUGGGUGCUUGUCAGUUAUUUCCAUCGAACCUCGUUGUCGCACUGUGGCCACCUCUGUUUUUAAUGUCGUGUUCCUGCGAUGAGUUCCCGCGUGGUGAGUGGUGAGCAGCGGCGGAAGCGGUCCUGUUACGGGCCUGAAGUUUUGAUGUGGGUGUUUCCCAGUAGGGGUUUCCCACAGCACGGGUGUUGAGGUGGAGCUCUUACUUUUGGGUGGGGUAUUGGGCGGUGAGACGUGAGAUAUCAAGAGCUUCAUACAAAGCGCAUGCACGUGCUGGGUGCGUUGCGCCAAGCAAGCUCCUGUAACAUUUCGGUGUUCAUGACAUAAGGAAGGUCUCGGUUCCAGUGCUUGUUUCACCGCUUCUUGGGGCGGGAGCACAUACAGCCAUUUUGGUGGGCGCGUACUGCAAAGGCGGCCACGCAAACAGGCACACAUGGAGAACACGCGCGAGACACGAGCUAAAGGAACAUGUCAUUCAGAGGGAUGAUUCGAGGUGCAUAUGGCCACGCUCUAUCGCGCGAAAGAAGCCAAGGGUUAUCGUGGCUUUCCUGUGUUAGCGAAGUGAGCUAGGCGCUUAAUCGCGGGUUGAUGGCCUCGGUUGUCGUACAGUGCAAGAGUUAAACUUCAGCAAACCACGUUGGUAGGUCACUCCCCGCCGACAUCAUCACUGGCGCGGCAUAGGUCAUCGCCAAUCCCUCUAGCGUACAGCGGCCUCGGCCUCCGCGAACCAGGCUCGCUACCUUCCUCACAGCCAGGAACUACGUUGCCACUGGAAGGUACCCCGAUGCACCAAGAAGGCUUAUUGUGGCGCUCGCCUCGGGCUUAUGUGUCCCGUUUCGGAUAGCACAGCAUCAGCACCACGAAAAACCUGCCGAUAUGCAUAACAAAAAAUCACACACACACACCAACACACACACACAUACUUACAAACACAAACACACACAAACACAAACCACACACUCACUCUCUUUCUUUUUCUUGUCAUGCAGAAACACACAGACGCACACCCACACCCACACACAUGCACACACGCGCACACACAUGCACACACACACACACACACGCACACACACGCACAUACGCACACGCACACGCCACACUUAAGUCGAAGGAAAAAGGCACGAAGUCGGACUGGAGCCUUGUAAUGAGUGAUGCCGUUACCUGGAUUACAGUCCGGUGUAGAACCAUGGGACGUGCAAUGAUAUGGAGUCUUAAAAGCUCGGCAACCAGAUGGACGCCGCUGCAUGCUGGCUACUGCUUUCAGUAUCACCCUGGCUGGCAGGCCCCUUUCGAUCAGUUUCGCAUCCGCAAGGCCAGAGCAUGCAGCAUCGCCAAUGGUUUGACCACCUGCUCCCGUAACUUAAGAACCAAAUACCGAAUGCCAGUGCCAUGGGUCCAGUACUCCCCCAGAAAGGCAGGAUGACACACAAAUAGGCUACCCGCUGUCCCUUGUCUAUCUGGUACUGCCCCGCGACUUUAUGCAUAAAACUGCUGGUCACAAGAAGUUCUUCUUUGUUCCUUUCACAGUUCAAUUGGUAGCCUGAAGCUAAGCAUGCGUGGAGUGCUGAACAUGUAGCGUGCGUGGUGAAACCCCUGGCAAAAGAGGUAACAAACAGAGGGCGUGCUGGCGUUCCGUUCAGUACUUCAGAGGUCAAAGGCAAGCCAUGGGCAAAGUAGGAGCUUUUCCCAGGUGCCAGCCUUAGGCUCCGACGUUUGGAAGCCCGUGGCCGAUUGUAAGUUGCGAAGAGCUCAUGCGUUUGGUCGAGGCCGACCGUCCUCCCUUGAUCGGACGACAGGUUGCUACGCACGUGCUUGUUGCUUUCCUUCGGUCCUAAACGGCCUCCGGUUCGGCGCUGUCGCCCUUUUGCGGUCCAGCAGAGCUUGGACCUUGUGUUCACCGGCCCUGUCCGGGAUGGAAUGCCCUUUGCCGUCCUAAGCAGCGUGACCCAUUAUAUCAGCUUGCUUCCUAGCAAGGACAACAGCUACUGUCCUCCCGUCCUACGGUACUGGUAAUGAGUAAAGGCCGAACAGCUAGGGUCAAACAUGGAGAGACCACUUUUGGCGCCUAAAGAAUGCAUUGCAGUGCGUAUCAAAAUCCAUGUUCAGCGUGCACGUCACAGCAUUUAUACAGUCGCCACUGAGUUAUCCCUGCAUCAGAAACUUGUAUGAAACUUGCAAGCAGGUGUAGCAAAUCGUUCAUGCCAAUCUGUGCAAGUGCAGAUAGCUGUUAAGCGCAUGUGUUGCAGGUGUGCCAUGUCUGUAUCCUGCGAUCUCUGUUAGGUAAGCGCCCUGUCCCACGGACAGGACAGGGAUACGGCGUGCGUACGGCAUCAAGAUUUGCUUGCAAAACAAAAGCGCUGGUUGCCUGUGCUUUCAGUAUCAGUUCUCUCCUUUGUGCAGCAGAGUCUGAUCACCUUACGAACAUCUAAAAUGGCUUUCGCUCUCGGCACCUCGCGCGAGGCUCUGCAGGUCGCAUGCAAGGCGACCGGCAAGAAGGCCGCUGCUAAGGUCCGUUUUAUUUCGACACCAUUUAUUUUAUCAGCGUACCUUACAUAGACGCACAUACGUAUUUGCAGUGUCCUCUGGCUAACCAGAGACGUUUGUCCCGUUCGCAACAUCUUUACAGCCGGCUGCCCCCAAGAGCUCUGGCAUCGAGUGGUAUGGCCCGAACCGCGCUAAGUGGCUCGGUAGGUUAUCCUGGAGAUCCGAGGAGAUCCGAUAUGCAGCGGGUGUAGCGCGUAUCGGAGGGCCGGAAUAAUCGGUCGGUCUCCUGCAUGGUCCUCCUUUCGGCGCAACAUGCCGCAGCGUCAGGUUUCUGUGCGCAGGCUGCUCUCUCGGUCCUUUGCUGACAUCGCGCGAUGCAUGCUGCGAUGAAGGGCACAGGUUGCGUCUUUCCCCCUUUCGCGACCUGCCGUUCAGUAGCCCGCUGCCGCCGUAUGUCCGCUUUCCCCUUCUGUGCCCACAUCGGACAGGCCCCUACAGCGAGAAUGCCACCCCUGCCUACCUGACUGGCGAGUUCCCCGGUGACUACGGCUGGGACACUGCUGGCCUGUCUGCUGACCCGGAGACGUUCAAGCGCUACCGCGAGCUGGAGCUGAUCCAUGCACGCUGGGCCAUGCUUGGCGCUCUGGGCUGCCUGACCCCCGAGCUGCUGUCCAAGAACGGCGUGCAGUUCGGUGAGGCUGUGUGGUUCAAGGCCGGCGCUCAGAUCUUCCAGGAGGGCGGCCUGGACUACCUGGGCAACCCGUCGCUGGUGCACGCUCAGAACAUCGUCGCGACGCUGGCGUGCCAGGUGGGCGGGAGGGACGUGGCUGCAUGCUUAGGAAUGUGUCCGGUCGCCUUACUUGUUAGCUGGCUAGGUGAAACAAGGUGGGGCGCGGCAACUGUGCUGCCAGCCCUUGACUGUUGCAAGCUCCCCUGCCUUUUGCGCGCUCUUACAUUCAGCUUGGGUUUGGAUUCCUAGUCGCAGCCUUGUGACAUGUGAGCAUUGUGCGCUAUCGCACGCACAUCCAGGAAUCUGGGUGUCUCGUUUCCUAUCCAGCUUGGUUUUAUUGCAGGCCGUACCCUGGCGUGUUGCUUAUCCGUAUUGACCGCUGUCUUCUCCCCCGCUCUCGCUGCUCACGUGCCGCGCAGGUGAUCCUGAUGGGCCUGGUGGAGGGCUACCGUGUGAACGGCGGCCCGGCCGGCGAGGGCCUGGACCCGCUGUACCCCGGCGAGUCGUUCGACCCCCUGGGCCUGGCUGACGACCCGGACACCUUCGCCGAGCUCAAGGUCAAGGAGAUCAAGAACGGCCGCCUGGCCAUGUUCUCCAUGUUCGGCUU
Molecule: long non-coding RNA, 4390 nt
Filed under: Volvox carteri
Lineage: Eukaryota; Viridiplantae; Chlorophyta; Chlorophyceae; Chlamydomonadales; Volvocaceae
Description: long non-coding RNA (VCAR_LNC003468)
Source: RNAcentral